UUUUAAUGGAGAGUUUGAUCCUGGCUCAGGAUGAACGCUGGCGGCGUGCUUAACACAUGCAAGUCGAACGAUGAAGACCGUGCUUGCACGGUUGGAUUAGUGGCGAACGGGUGAGUAUCACGUGAGUAACCUUCCCUUAACUCUGGGAUAAGCCCGGGAAACUGGGUCUAAUACCGGAUACGACCAGUCCUCGCAUGGGGUGCUGGUGGAAAGAUUUAUCGGUUUUGGAUGGACUCGCGGCCUAUCAGCUUGUUGGUGAGGUAAUGGCUCACCAAGGCGAUGACGGGUAGCCGGCCUGAGAGGGUGACCGGCCACACUGGGACUGAGACACGGCCCAGACUCCUACGGGAGGCAGCAGUGGGGAAUAUUGCACAAUGGGCGAAAGCCUGAUGCAGCGACGCCGCGUGCGGGAUGACGGCCUUCGGGUUGUAAACCGCUUUCAGCAGGGAAGAAGCGAAAGUGACGGUACCUGCAGAAGAAGCGCCGGCUAACUACGUGCCAGCAGCCGCGGUAAUACGUAGGGCGCGAGCGUUAUCCGGAAUUAUUGGGCGUAAAGAGCUCGUAGGCGGUUUGUCACGUCUGCUGUGAAAGCCCGGGGCUCAACCCCGGGUGUGCAGUGGGUACGGGCAGACUAGAGUGCAGUAGGGGAGACUGGAAUUCCUGGUGUAGCGGUGAAAUGCGCAGAUAUCAGGAGGAACACCGAUGGCGAAGGCAGGUCUCUGGGCUGUUACUGACGCUGAGGAGCGAAAGCAUGGGGAGCGAACAGGAUUAGAUACCCUGGUAGUCCAUGCCGUAAACGUUGGGCACUAGGUGUGGGGAACAUUCCACGUUUUCCGCGCCGUAGCUAACGCAUUAAGUGCCCCGCCUGGGGAGUACGGCCGCAAGGCUAAAACUCAAAGGAAUUGACGGGGGCCCGCACAAGCGGCGGAGCAUGCGGAUUAAUUCGAUGCAACGCGAAGAACCUUACCAAGGCUUGACAUGGACCGGACCGCUGCAGAGAUGCAGUUUCCCUUCGGGGUCGGUUCACAGGUGGUGCAUGGUUGUCGUCAGCUCGUGUCGUGAGAUGUUGGGUUAAGUCCCGCAACGAGCGCAACCCCUAUCCUAUGUUGCCAGCACGUGAUGGUGGGGACUCAUGGGAGACUGCCGGGGUCAACUCGGAGGAAGGUGGGGACGACGUCAAAUCAUCAUGCCCCUUAUGUCUUGGGCUUCACGCAUGCUACAAUGGCCGGUACAAUGGGUUGCGAUACUGUGAGGUGGAGCUAAUCCCUAAAAGCCGGUCUCAGUUCGGAUCGAAGUCUGCAACUCGACUUCGUGAAGUUGGAGUCGCUAGUAAUCGCAGAUCAGCAACGCUGCGGUGAAUACGUUCCCGGGCCUUGUACACACCGCCCGUCAAGUCACGAAAGUGGGUAACACCCGAAGCCGGUGGCCUAACCCUUGUGGGGGGAGCCGUCGAAGGUGGGACUCGCGAUUGGGACUAAGUCGUAACAAGGUAGCCGUACCGGAAGGUGCGGCUGGAUCACCUCCUUUCUAAGGA
The sequence is a ribosomal RNA, 1534 nucleotides long. It matches the Rfam family "Bacterial small subunit ribosomal RNA".